Molecule: ribosomal RNA, 460 nt
Filed under: uncultured bacterium
Lineage: Bacteria
Description: partial 16S ribosomal RNA
Rfam family: Bacterial small subunit ribosomal RNA
Source: RNAcentral
CCUACGGGAGGCAGCAGUGAGGACUAUUGGUCAAUGGGCGCGAGCCUGAACCAGCCAAGUAGCGUGAAGGAUGACUGCCCUACGGGUUGUAAACUUCUUUUAUAAAGGAAUAAAGUGAGGCACGUGUGCAUUUUUGUAUGUACUUUAUGAAUAAGGAUCGGCUAACUCCGUGCCAGCAGCCGCGGUAAUACGGAGGAUCCAGGCGUUAUCCGGCUUUAUGGGGGUUAAAGGAAGCGUAGAUGGGUUGUUAAGUCAGUUGUGAAAGUUUGCGGCUCAACCGUAAAAUUGCAAUUGAUACUGGCAGCCUUGAGUACAGUUGAGGUAGGCGGAAUUCGUGGUGUAGCGGUGAAAUGCUUAGAUAUCACGAAGAACUCCGAUUGCGAAGGCAGCCUACUAAACUGCCACUGACAUUGAUGCUCGAAAGUGUGGGUAUCAAACAGGAUUAGAUACCCUAGUAGUC